This is a long non-coding RNA of Sebastes umbrosus (honeycomb rockfish), 182 nucleotides long. RefSeq lists it as uncharacterized. The record is from RefSeq and is a predicted model, not a curated record. Lineage: Eukaryota; Metazoa; Chordata; Actinopteri; Perciformes; Sebastidae. The transcript is spliced from 5 exons.
UAUUUUUUGCUUUUUAUUGGCCUGGCUAUUUUCUCCGGUUAUUGUCAAAUCUGGUGUACGCUUGCUGGUCUGCUAACAUCGCCUGAUGUUACUGCAUCGCUGAUGUCAUGAAAUGUGAAAGUAGCGCAACUUGUUUAAUUUUCAGCCGUAUGGCAAAUAAUGAUUUUGAGUCAGAAGGAGGG